AGCGAACGCUGGCGGCAGGCCUAACACAUGCCAGUCGAACGAACCUUUCGGGGUUAGUGGCGGACGGGUGAGUAACACGUGGGAACGUGCCUUUAGGUUCGGAAUAACUCAGGGAAACUUGUACUAAUACCGAAUGUGCCCUUCGGGGGAAAGAUUAAUCGCCUUUAGAGCGGCCCGCGUCUGAUUAGCUAGUUGGUUGAGGUAAUGGCUCACCAAGGCGACGAUCAGUAGCUGGUCUGAGAGGAUGAUCAGCCACAUUGGGACUGAGACACGGCCCAAACUCCUACGGGAGGCAGCAGUGGGGAAUCUUGCGCAAUGGGCGAAAGCCUGACGCAGCCAUGCCGCGUGAAUGAUGAAGGUCUUAGGAUUGUAAAAUUCUUUCACCGGGGACGAUAAUGACGGUACCCGGAGAAGAAGCCCCGGCUAACUUCGUG
RNAcentral lists this ribosomal RNA (434 nucleotides) under uncultured bacterium. RNAcentral describes it as "partial 16S ribosomal RNA". It matches the Rfam family "Bacterial small subunit ribosomal RNA", at positions 29 to 507 of the family's 1533-position model. The record is from RNAcentral.